RNAcentral lists this ribosomal RNA (465 nucleotides) under uncultured bacterium. RNAcentral describes it as "bacterial SSU rRNA". It matches the Rfam family "Bacterial small subunit ribosomal RNA", at positions 338 to 795 of the family's 1533-position model. The record is from RNAcentral.
CCUACGGGAUGCAGCAGCGGGGAAUAUUGCACAAUGGGCGCAAGCCUGAUGCAGCCAUGCCGCGUGUAUGAAGAAGGCCUUCGGGUUGUAAAGUACUUUCAGCGGGGAGGAAGGUGUUGAGGUCAAUAACCUCAGCAAUUGACGUUACCCGCAGAAGAAGCACCGGCUAACUCCGUGCCAGCAGCCGCGGGAAUACGGAGGGUGCAAGCGGUUAUCGGAAUUACUGGGCGUAAAGCGCACGCAGGCGGUCUGUCAAGUCGGAUGUGAAAUCCCCGGGCUCAACCUGGGAACUGCAUUCGAAACUGGCAGGCUAGAGUCUUGUAGAGGGGGGUAGAAUUCCAGGUGUAGCGGUGAAAUGCGUAGAGAUCUGGAGGAAUACCGGUGGCGAAGGCGGCCACCUGGACAAAGACUGACGCUCAGGUGCGAAAGCGUGGGGAGCAAACAGGAUUAGAUACCCUCGUAGUC